GGGAUUGCCUCAGUAACGGCGAGUGAAGCGGCAACAGCUCAAAUUUGAAAUCUGGCCCCUUCGGGGCCCGAGUUGUAAUUUGUAGAGAGUGUUUCGGGUGAGACCACGGUCUAAGUCCAUUGGAACAUGGCGUCAUAGAGGGUGAGAAUCCCGUAUGUGACCGUGGAUCGAGCCCAUGUGAAGCCUCUUCAACGAGUCGAGUUGUUUGGGAAUGCAGCUCAAAAUGGGUGGUAAAUUUCAUCUAAAGCUAAAUACUGGCUGGAGACCGAUAGCGCACAAGUAGAGUGAUCGAAAGAUGAAAAGCACUUUGGAAAGAGAGUCAAACAGUACGUGAAAUUGUUGAAAGGGAAGCGCUUGCAACCAGACCUGUCCGUAGGUGAUCAGCCGCUGUUUUCAGCGGUGCACUCGCUCUGCGAUCAGGCCAGCAUCGGUUUCGGCGGCCGGAUAAAGGCCUUGGGAAUGUAGCUUCCCUUCGGGGGAGUCUUAUAGCCCUCGGUGCCAUGCGGCCAGCCGGGACCGAGGACCGCGCUUCGGCUAGGAUGCUGGCGUAAUGGUUGUAA
Molecule: ribosomal RNA, 560 nt
Filed under: Montanelia aff. tominii SDL-2014
Lineage: Eukaryota; Fungi; Ascomycota; Lecanoromycetes; Lecanorales; Parmeliaceae
Description: eukaryotic LSU rRNA
Rfam family: Eukaryotic large subunit ribosomal RNA
Source: RNAcentral